Molecule: long non-coding RNA, 4519 nt
Organism: Dermacentor silvarum
Lineage: Eukaryota; Metazoa; Arthropoda; Arachnida; Ixodida; Ixodidae
Exons: 3
Source: RefSeq, a predicted model, not a curated record
UGGGUGAGUUGGUGCAUAGCUAAACGCAUGAAUUGUGGUGCAAGGUUGAAAAAAAAAGUAAAGCCAAAAAGGAGACAGGAUAGGGUGCCAAACUUUCAACUAGUUUUAGUUCUAGCACAUCACCAAAAUAUAUCUAUUUCCAAAAAAAUAUGUGCACAAAGACAUGGUGCAGCACGUGUCACAAGCUACCUCACUGCAUUAUCUAAAAACGAACAUUCACUUUUGUAGAGGUCAACAAAGGGCACACUGAUACAACCAUCACCCUUCUUCCUUAUGUGAUAUGCCUCGAGCAAUUCACGUGCUAACACUACUCUGCUUCUUCCUACCACACGUGUCGUCAAACCAUGGAGCACAGCCAUGCGAGGAACAAUGGAACGGCAGGUGUGAACCCACACCAUUUUAAUCAAUAAAACAUGCUCUUUUAGGCGGUCAUUAACACAGCGGCCUGUUUGGCCUGUAUAAGACUUGCCACAGCUCAACGGAAUUUCAUAUACGACGCCCACCAUGCAACGCAGUACGGGUGGUUUUCUCGGCCCCUAAAGUUGUCUAAGCUUUGCGCCCGCAUUUCUUCCCAAAAGCCCAAGCUUCCGUGCGGAAAGAAGCAUGCCAGUAAGCCAGAGUAAGCAAGCUUCUUUAGUAUUGCUUAAACUGGGCAUUAGAUGAGCUGUGGGUAGGUAUAAACAUCUGUGUUGCAAUCUUGCAUUUCCCUUGUAUUCCUUUGGGUGGUUGGUUGGUUAUUCACUUUCUUACUUUCUGCAAUUACUUUGUGCUGCAGACCUCUGUCUUCAGUACUUCAAGUUAUACUUUCAUGUGGCAGGUAUUUUCCAUAGCUAUAGCUGUCCACAACAAGGUGCUCAACUGAAGAUCUGACGCGUAUGUUCAUAACUAUUUUUCUGCAAUGUCCGAGUAUACCUUUACUGUUUGCUAAAGUAAAGUUUAAGUGAAGUAAAUGAGUAAUUGGCAGACUGGAAUUUGUUUUCAGUCUGUGAAGCCACUGAUGGUGAGUUUUCCUACACACUUGUGAGAGAGAGGGGGGGGAUGGUGACUUAAACUCUAUAAACCGUUUCCCGUGGCUGAAAUUGCCAAUGUUAAGUCGCUGCUUGUUGCGUAGAGACUCCACAUAGAGAUCCUAAGAGGGAUGCCACUCAUAAAAACUGCAGUCAAAUUCGACAAUUCGUAGCUUGGCUGUCUUGACUGUAGGUCCGACAUGUCUAUACUCUUUUCUUGGUGGCUCUAUUCGUUAGAUUAACCACAUUAGUGGAAGCAACCAUGUUCUAAACUUCUAUAUGGCAAUACUUCUGAGUUUGUUAGACAAAAGGACUCUAGGUAGCUCUUUAUUGAUUACUGUUCUGCUUUGAAAUUGUCAUUGCCUGUCUGUUCUAUGACAUUGUUAAUAAAGCUGUUGCGAAGCGGGAUCUUUCCUUUCAAAGGGGCAGAAUUAAUGUCUUGCACUUCACGAACAGCUUGCAACAUAAUGUUGAUGUCAUUCAUGACUUUCAAGCAGCUCGGGCUUGUCUCUGCUUUCUCCUGCAUGGAUUCAUUUGAUGAAGGCCUUGAAUGCAGAAUCAUUGUGGUACAUGAUUGAAAGUGUGUCAGUUCUUCAGGUAGAGAAGCCGGUAGGUAUAGCACAUUCAUUCCCCAAACCGGGAUAUGCUGGCAUUCAUCAGUUUUGUCCAGCAUUGCCUACAAAUUUUGGGGAAAAUAAUAUGCGAGAUUUCUCACUGAUUUUGUUUGUAUUUCAUAGUGCUGGGGAUUUCAGUAUAUAACUGGUGUUGGUCUGAAGUACCGAUUGACACAAAUUGUGUGAUUGCAUUAUGUGCGCUGUGGCAAAUAAUUAAACUGUUAAUUAGUGCUUGAUUAAGCACUACAAGCAAGUACUGUGCCUUGAAGUUAUGAUCUGCACUGAAAAUUACAUAGUCUGCAUAACAUAUACAAUACCUUAUGUAUUAUUAUAUUGGGAAAAAAGUACUUAACCUAUUUUAUGUGUAAAAAUGCGCAUCAUUUUACUUUUACUUUUUUAUCAUACUUCUGAGCACGAAGCGGCGGCCGCAUCGCCAUGGACACUAGUCGUGAGCAAAACACGGUAAUGGCGGCAACAGAAAGUCGGAUUGAAGUGUAAAGUGAGGUUUCUUUUCAGUAUUUUUACGCAUUCUCUAAACUUCUGAACGUGUUUUAACACGUGUGCAAGUGCAGCGGCUUAUUCCGCUACUGAUUUUUGUAUGAAUAUUGCUUUGACCGGCAAUGCUUGUCCACUGCGUCUGGCUUCUUAUUCUAUGACUGGGUCAGAUCCUGAAAUUCGCGUGCUUGCCAACACAAAGGUCUUCCAGGCAGACGAUUCUUCAGAGAGUCCUCGUAGUCGUCCGGUGACACUUUGCACUCAGGGAGGCCAACUUAGGAAUACAUCGGUUUAUUGUAGGACAAAGUAGCAUACAUCGACGAGCGGCGGCUGAUUAUCGGCUGGCUCCUUCCCUCUUCAUCUCUACACACUUUUUUAAGGGAUCAUCAACAAUACACGCUGUACCCGCCCCCAUUUUCUAGUCCGGUUUUUGGAACACGCAGACCAACAUCACUUAAACGAACACCACAUGGCCCUCUUGCUUGAAGUUCACACGCCUCAGUGCAGUUGCCCCGGUGCAAUGGCAAGCCCCGCGAACACAUAAAUCACCCCUCGAGCCACUAACCCUGGACAUGCCGCAGAAUCACACUUGAGCAUGACAUUGCCGUCAAGUUUCCCGUUACAUACGUAUGCUAGACGACGUAAACUGUCUCCCACACCGCAAAGGGAAUGCCGCCACCCCCGGCAGUGCCUGUGUUUAUGUUAGCCCCCAAGAAUGCGCCUAUAUGCCACUGAGUGAUAUGCGCGCGGUGAGGUGGCUGCUUCGCUUCUCGUUAUGUACGCUUCUCCGUUAAAUGACCGUAUAUCUUGGACACCGCAGUGGAAGUGCACUAUCCCUAGCGGUCCCGGUCACUGUUCUAAGAACCCAAACGACGUCAGCUGUGAAAGAAUAAACAACCUGCGUUAGUGUCAUGCAUGUGGCCCCCGGGCUCCAACUUGGGCCAACUUAACUGCAUGUAAAUAAACUAUUUUCAUGAAACUAUUGUCUUUUUAUUUGCAAUUCUAUGGUUAGCUUUAUAUAUUAAAAAAUGCUACCACCACCUUGACUACGUGCUGCGAGUGCGUGUGGCUUGCUUGCAUUUGGGGAUGCAAAGCUAUAAUGCUUUUUUGCUUGGGCACGCAACCACACACAUACUAAAAGAUAGGGACUCCUGAAUGCUUCGAUAGCACAAUCUAAAGCUCUCAUUUAUGUUACUGCAUAAUCUUAUUUGUGAUAUGUACUAUCACAAUGGCAUAACAGCAAAGCACAUGGCUUUCGAUACAUGCUCCACAUGCGCAGAUAUGGUGCUUGCGGCUUUGGCACCACAGCGCUUGAAAAAGGUGUCCUUCACAGGACACAUUCGGGGAGUUAUGCCCCCACCUACUCGAUAUACAUGGGUCUAGCCCACAACGAGACCAACAAGGUGACAAUAGCAGGGUGGGCCAUCAUGCUAGCUAGGAGGACUUCGGUCUGAGGAUGACUUGACGUGAAUGGGUACAGGAUUUGUAGCGACCUGGUCAUGGAUGGUGGUUCUGCAAGCCAGUAUGUGGUGCUACACCCAGUGUGAGUAAGGCACUCUUGGGCAAGGUGCUCAGCGGAUCUGUUUGGCAGGACACAAGUAUUGCAGCGGUGGCGAAAUGGUCGAGCGUCUUCCUCGUAUGCAGGGAGGUACUUGGUUAGAAUCCCAGUGCCACUGGGAACCUAUCAGAUUUUUAUUGGGUAGAGAUGUCCUCCGGCUUGGUGCUCAGUUGUUUGUAGGAGUUUUCAUGUCGAAAGGGGCGCUAUAGAGAUUUGAAAGGUGCCCCUUGUCUCACCACAACGAUGGUGACCCAGACGAGCAUUUGCCACUGCUGUGGGAGGCUGAGUAGCGCUGCCGCCUGGUACCCACCGGUAAAAUAGGUAUAACUGUGCUUCCGGUCAGGUGCUCAGCCAUUACGGGAUACUUGGAAAGGGGUGUUUCUUUCCAAUCCAAGGGCAUCCCCACCUAACAGCUGCAUUAGGAUGCCACACAGGAAACUGCUGCCGUGGAAGCAGCCCAGACCCAUUUUCUUUAACCCUUGGAGGGCCCCUUGCAAGAUGAGAACUCGUAGAAGGUGCCGAGCACUGGGCCAGGGGACACCUAUACCCAUUAGAACUGGCGAGUUUCUGGCAGUGAACAGCGGAUGAUAAGAGUGGUAUAGAAUCGAACGGAAGGAAUAAUCUAUAUUAUCCUGGCCCAGGGACGGGGGGGGGUAUUCUGUAAGAGUCCACCUAGUGGACUGUCCACUUCGGCUGUCGCCAUUAGCGCCAGCUUCACGAGCACGAAGGUGCCAGCCAGUCUCCUUCGCGCUCGUGAAGCUGGAGCCAAUGGCGACAGGUGAAGUGGACAGUCCAGGUGAACUCUUACAGAAUACCCCCCUAGAUCUCAGUUAUUGUGCAGAUAU